Panthera uncia (snow leopard) is the source of this 1273-nucleotide long non-coding RNA. RefSeq lists it as uncharacterized. The record is from RefSeq and is a predicted model, not a curated record. The transcript is spliced from 5 exons. NCBI's taxonomy places the organism in Eukaryota, Metazoa, Chordata, Mammalia, Carnivora, Felidae.
AAUAUAUUUCUAUGGUUUAUUAGCUACCCAGUCUGUGCUAUUUAAAAAAAUUUUUUUUAAUACUUAGUUUUUUGAGAGACAGAGCGAGAGUGAGCAGGGGAGGGGCAGAGAGAGAGGGAGACACCAAAUCUGAAGCAGGCUCUGAACAAUCAGUGCAAAGUCCGACAUGGGGCUCAAACCCACAAACCGUGAGAUCAUGACCUGAGCCGAAAUCGGAUGCUUAACCGACUGUGCCACCCAGGCGCCCCCAGUCUGUGAUAUUUUAUUAUAGCGGCCUGCACAGAUGAAGACAGGCCAAGAGAAGGAACACAGGAAGAGAUUUUAACUUUUCUCUUUAUAAAGGGAAGAUUGUGCACUGAGUUUCAAACAGACUGAAUUUUAAGGGAAAGAGAAUGGAGAGAAUUCCAGCCAUCAUUUGGAAAUACAGAUAUGGAGAGGGGAAACAUAAGGCUAAGAGAGAAUUUGCCCAUGAUCGUACUGCCCGCGAACAGUGACACGCAGAUCCAAGCUCAGUCGGCUUGCAGGACAGUGAUGCAGGUGAACCUUGGCUGGUCCCCACUGCUGUGAAUGACGUUGCCUGUAUCUGCACAUGGCUGUUGAGACUGAAGAGGAAGAAACUACCUAAACCAGCCAAGAUAUUUUAAUGAGAACAGAAGAGAGAACCCGUGGAAGAAGAAUCAAGAGCUACUAGACUUUCUGGCCACAUGGACCUGGGAUUUCCCAACUCUGUCACCUGUGCAUAAACAGAGAACUGAGAGAUGACACGGAUGGUUGGUCUUUUUUGGAUGGCUCUUGAUGACAGGGAGGGCUGCUUCAGAGGAGUGAAUUUCAAGCACUUAGAUGUUGAAUAACAGAGGAAGCAAUUUGGUAAUUGUGUACAUGAAGCUGAGAAGAUGCCAUCUUGGUUUCCUGUUCCUUCCUGGUGGCCACAAGGAAUGUGUAUCUUCAUUCAUGUCUCCUCCUCUGGUCCUACUUCCUGGGAGCCAUGAUGGAUGAACCACAGCCAGUGAAGAUUUUGCUCCCCAUUUAUCAUGUUCUGGCUUGUUCUUGGAGCCAUUUGCUUUCCAACAGGUGAGUUGGAAGAUAUGGAUUACAUGUUGUUAAUAUGGUAAGUAGUAGGAUGUUGUGGUCAUUUUCUUUGGGAUGUACAAGUGGGACUUAGCAUAACAAAAGCUCAGGAAACAGAAAUUUAUGCUUCCCAAUCAUCCCUCCUUGAUUCUACUUACUGACUUUAAAACUCCCACAAAAAGUACCUUAUUUAGAUUAAAAAAAA